Molecule: transfer RNA, 76 nt
Filed under: Sneathiellales bacterium
Lineage: Bacteria; Pseudomonadati; Pseudomonadota; Alphaproteobacteria; Sneathiellales
Description: tRNA-Thr
Rfam family: tRNA
About the family: Transfer RNA (tRNA) molecules are approximately 80 nucleotides in length. Their secondary structure includes four short double-helical elements and three loops (D, anti-codon, and T loops). Further hydrogen bonds mediate the characteristic L-shaped molecular structure. tRNAs have two regions of fundamental functional importance: the anti-codon, which is responsible for specific mRNA codon recognition, and the 3' end, to which the tRNAs corresponding amino acid is attached (by aminoacyl-tRNA synthetases). tRNAs cope with the degeneracy of the genetic code in two manners: having more than one tRNA (with a specific anti-codon) for a particular amino acid; and 'wobble' base-pairing, i.e. permitting non-standard base-pairing at the 3rd anti-codon position.
Source: RNAcentral
GCCGCUGUAGCUCAGCUGGUAGAGCAACUGAUUCGUAAUCAGUAGGUCGGUGGUUCGAGUCCACUCAGCGGCACCA